This 75-nucleotide transfer RNA is filed under the name Lachnospiraceae bacterium. RNAcentral's name for it is "tRNA-Ala". It matches the Rfam family "tRNA". Rfam says of the family: Transfer RNA (tRNA) molecules are approximately 80 nucleotides in length. Their secondary structure includes four short double-helical elements and three loops (D, anti-codon, and T loops). Further hydrogen bonds mediate the characteristic L-shaped molecular structure. tRNAs have two regions of fundamental functional importance: the anti-codon, which is responsible for specific mRNA codon recognition, and the 3' end, to which the tRNAs corresponding amino acid is attached (by aminoacyl-tRNA synthetases). tRNAs cope with the degeneracy of the genetic code in two manners: having more than one tRNA (with a specific anti-codon) for a particular amino acid; and 'wobble' base-pairing, i.e. permitting non-standard base-pairing at the 3rd anti-codon position. The record is from RNAcentral. RNAcentral also lists the same sequence under 1 other name. Lineage: Bacteria; Bacillati; Bacillota; Clostridia; Lachnospirales; Lachnospiraceae.
GGGGGCAUAACAUAAUGGUUCGUGUGACGGCUUUGCAAGCCGUAAAUCCGGGUUCGAUUCCCGGUGCCUCCACCA